UAAAGCGUGCGCAGGCGGUUUUGUAAGACUGUCGUGAAAUCCCCGGGCUCAACCUGGGAAUGGCGAUGGUGACUGCAAGGCUAGAGUUUGGCAGAGGGGGUAGAAUUCCACGUGUAGCAGUGAAAUGCGUAGAUAUGUGGAGGAACACCGAUGGCGAAGGCAGCCCCCUGGGUCAAAACUGACGCUCAUGCACGAAAGCGUGGGGAGCAAACAGGAUUAGAUACCCUGGU
RNAcentral lists this ribosomal RNA (230 nucleotides) under uncultured bacterium. RNAcentral's name for it is "partial 16S ribosomal RNA". It matches the Rfam family "Bacterial small subunit ribosomal RNA", at positions 561 to 791 of the family's 1533-position model. The record is from RNAcentral.